This 1454-nucleotide ribosomal RNA is filed under the name metagenome. RNAcentral's name for it is "bacterial SSU rRNA". It matches the Rfam family "Bacterial small subunit ribosomal RNA". The record is from RNAcentral.
AGAGUUUGAUCCUGGCUCAGGAUGAACGCUGGCGGCGUGCAUAAUACAUGUAAGUCGAACGGGAGAUUAGCAAUAGUCUUAAGUGGCGAACGGGUGAGUAACACGUUGGUGACCUGCCCCAAAGCGGGGGAUACCAGAUCGAAAGGUCUGCUAAUACCGCGUAAUUUCUACAUGAUUAGAAGAUGUAGAAGAAAGCCGAAAGGCACUAAGGGAGGGACCUGCGGCCCAUCAGCUAGUUGGCAGGGUAAAAGCCUACCAAGGCGACGACGGGUAGGGGACCUGAGAGGGUGGCCCCCCACACUGGCACUGAACCACGGGCCAGACACCUACGGGUGGCAGCAGUAGGGAAUAUUGCACAAUGGGCGAAAGCCUGAUGCAGCAACGCCGCGUGCGCGAUGAAGGCCUUCGGGUCGUAAAGCGCUUUUCUGCAGGAAGAGGCAGGACGGUACUGUAGGAAUAAGGAUCGGCUAACUACGUGCCAGCAGCCGCGGUAACACGUAGGAUCCGAGCGUUAUCCGAAUUCACUGGGCGUAAAGCGCUUGUAGGCGGCUGGAUAAGUUGGAUGUGAAAUCUUCCGGCUCAACUGGGAGAGGCUGUUCAAGACUGUUCGGCUAGAGGGCGAUAGAGGGAGGUGGAAUUCCAGGUGUAGUGGUGAAAUGCGUAGAUAUCUGGAGGAACACCAGUGGCGAAAGCGGCCUCCUGGAUCGCACCUGACGCUCAGAAGCGAAAGCUAGGGGAGCAAACGGGAUUAGAAACCCCGGUAGUCCUAGCUGUAAACGAUGUAGACUGGGUGUUGGUGGAGUAAAAUCUAUCAGUACCGAAGCAAACGCGAUAAGUCUACCGCCUGGGGACUACGGCCGCAAGGUUAAAACUCAAAGGAAUUGACGGGGGCCCGCACAAGCACCGGAGCGUGUGGUUUAAUUCGAUCUACACGAAGAACCUUACCCGGAUUUGACAUGCAGAUGGUAGGGAACUGAAAGGGGACCGACCCUUCGGGGAGUCUGCACAGGUGCUGCAUGGCUGUCGUCAGCUCGUGUCGUGAGAUGUCCGGUUAAGUCCGGUAACGAGCGCAACCCCUGCCACGUGUUACAAGUGUCACGUGGGACUGCCGGUAUCAUGCCGGAGGAAGGUGGGGAUGACGUCAAGUCAGCAUGGCCUUUAUGUCCGGGGCUACACACACGCUACAAUGGCCAGUACAAUGGGUAGCGAAUCUGCGAAGAGGAGCCAAUCCUGAAAGCUGGUCUCAGUUCAGAUUGCAGGCUGAAACCCGCCUGCAUGAAGUCGGAGUUGCUAGUAACCGCACGUCAGCAUUAGUGCGGUGAAUACGUUCCCGGGCCUUGUACACACCGCCCGUCACGUCAUGGGAGCUGGCAACACCUGAAGCCGGUAGCCUAACCGCAAGGAGGGCGCCGUCGAAGGUGGGGCUGGUGACUGGGACGAAGUCGAACAAGGUA